UCAGACCAAUGAUAAUGCCCCCCGCUCCUGCAAGGUGACCAAUCAUUGGCAGAGUAACAGGACGCGGGACGAGCCCCGACAACCUGAGGGCGAAUGCGAGGCAAAGCUGGUGCUGGGUUCCCCGCUGCACAUUCAAAAGAAGGUCGUUCGUGUUUGAAGGGCUUCAGUGAAAAGACCUGUCUACUGGGAAAUUGGACCAGGUGCAUCCUGUUGUGGUUCACCUGAGCAUGGAUGUCACUUCUCCAUUAUGUUUCAAGUACAUGAUGACAUCAUCAAAGUACGUGAUGUGCAUUCCUGAUUUAGCAAUAGAAAUUGAAUCAGGAGGUCCUGAGCUGAAAUUUCCCAAUUGGCUUGUCUCUCUGGAAGUGAAGCCAUGUGAACUCAUCACAGCGACCUUUUUAAUUUUUGACAUACUGACUACUGGAAACCAAUGCCAAUGAUGUUAUCAGCAUAGCUAGUAGAUGCAUGACACAGUCAAUAAAUGACCU
Pristis pectinata (smalltooth sawfish) is the source of this 488-nucleotide long non-coding RNA. RefSeq lists it as uncharacterized. Lineage: Eukaryota; Metazoa; Chordata; Chondrichthyes; Rhinopristiformes; Pristidae. The transcript has 3 exons. The record is from RefSeq and is a predicted model, not a curated record.